UGGGGAAUUUUGCGCAAUGGGGGAAACCCUGACGCAGCAACGCCGCGUGGACGAUGAAGCAUCUUGGUGUGUAAAGUCCUUUCGGCAGGGACGAAUUAAAUGACGGUACCUGCAGAAGAAGCCCCGGCUAACUCCGUGCCAGCAGCCGCGGUAAUACGAGGGGGGCAAGCGUUGUUCGGAAUUAUUGGGCGUAAAGGGCGCGUAGGCGGUGUGGCAAGUCAGGUGUGAAACCUCCAGGCUCAACUUGGAGCUUGCAUCUGAAACUGCCGUGCUAGAGUGUGGGAGAGGAGAGUGGAAUUCCUGGUGUAGCGGUGAAAUGCGUAGAUAUCAGGAGGAACACCGGUGGCGAAGGCGGCUCUCUGGACCACAACUGACGCUGAGGCGCGAAAGCUAGGGGAGCAAACAGGAUUAGAUACCCCCGUAGUCC
RNAcentral lists this ribosomal RNA (427 nucleotides) under uncultured bacterium. Its description in RNAcentral is "bacterial SSU rRNA". It matches the Rfam family "Bacterial small subunit ribosomal RNA", at positions 355 to 796 of the family's 1533-position model. The record is from RNAcentral.